CGCGGCCGGCACAUGAGCGGCCCUCGCGGCACCGAGCGGGCAGGACCUUGCUCCCCACCGGUGCUCAGCAUCCCCCUGCCCGGCACGGCUCCAGCACCCACCUUGGAGCAGGCUGUGUCAGGGUGCUGACACCCAUCCCCUGCCAUGCUCACAGGACCCCCCAGGCCGGACAGCCACCCCUCCAGGGCAGCGGGCAGGACCGGACAAGCUUGGCUCUCGGUGGUAUUUCUAUCCCUAUCUCUCUGCUGAAAUCCCCCGGCUCAGCAUGCAAAGGAUGGUUAGAUCCUCCCCAAAGCAUGCAAGGAGGUGGCCAUGGACAUGGCCACGGGUGAUCAGGCUUUGUCCCAGUGGCCGUGCCCACGUGCAAGCACGCCGACAGGGAAUUAUUAACAUUCAGACGAGGCCCGCUGAAUAAAACGAGCUAACACAAA
Long non-coding RNA from Pezoporus occidentalis (night parrot), 431 nucleotides. RefSeq lists it as uncharacterized. NCBI's taxonomy places the organism in Eukaryota, Metazoa, Chordata, Aves, Psittaciformes, Psittacidae. The transcript has 2 exons. The record is from RefSeq and is a predicted model, not a curated record.